GCUGGGCAAGGUGGUGCAUGCCUGUAGUUCCAGCUACUUGGAAGGCCCAGGAGUUCCGGGCUGUAGCACAUUAUGCCUAUUGGGUGUCCGAACUAAGUUAAGCAUCAAUACGGAGCCCUCCCAAGGUGGAGGACCACCAGGUUGCCUAAGGAGGGGUGAGCUGGCCCAGGUCAGAAAUGGAGCACGUCAAAAAUUCCAUGCUGAUCAGUAGUGGGAUUGCACCUGUGAAUAGCCACUGCACUCCAGCCUGGGCAACAU
RNAcentral lists this signal recognition particle RNA (258 nucleotides) under Saimiri boliviensis boliviensis (Bolivian squirrel monkey). RNAcentral's name for it is "Metazoan signal recognition particle RNA (ENSSBOG00000001712.1)". It matches the Rfam family "Metazoan signal recognition particle RNA". Rfam says of the family: The signal recognition particle (SRP) is a universally conserved ribonucleoprotein. It is involved in the co-translational targeting of proteins to membranes. The eukaryotic SRP consists of a 300-nucleotide 7S RNA and six proteins: SRPs 72, 68, 54, 19, 14, and 9. The record is from Rfam by way of RNAcentral. Lineage: Eukaryota; Metazoa; Chordata; Mammalia; Primates; Cebidae.